This 2012-nucleotide ribosomal RNA is filed under the name Aestuariimicrobium kwangyangense DSM 21549. Its description in RNAcentral is "bacterial LSU rRNA". It matches the Rfam family "Bacterial large subunit ribosomal RNA", at positions 1043 to 2925 of the family's 2925-position model. Lineage: Bacteria; Bacillati; Actinomycetota; Actinomycetes; Propionibacteriales; Propionibacteriaceae. The record is from RNAcentral.
GGCCCCUAAGCGAUAACUAAGUGGAAAAGGAUGUGGAGUUGCGGUGACAACCAGGAGGUUGGCUUGGAAGCAGCCACCCUUGAAAGAGUGCGUAAUAGCUCACUGGUCAAGUGAUUCUGCGCCGACAAUUUAGCGGGGCUCAAGUUAUCCGCCGAAGCUAUGGCAUUCACGCGUGUACUUGACUUUCGAGUCCAGGUGCGUGGAUGGGUAGGGGAGCGUCGUGUGCGCGAUGAAGCGGCGGGGUGACCCAGUCGUGGAGAGCACACGAGUGAGAAUGCAGGCAUGAGUAGCGAAUGACGGGUGAGAAACCCGUCCGCCGAAUAUCCAAGGGUUCCAGGGUCAAGCUAAUCUGCCCUGGGUAAGUCGGGACCUAAGGCGAGGCCGACAGGCGUAGUCGAUGGACAACGGGUUGAUAUUCCCGUACCGGCGAAGUACGGCCCAUGCUGAAUCAGGUGAUGCUGAGCACGGAAGGUGUCGGAGGUCUUCGGAUCGAUGAUGCUGACUCUGCGACCCAAACUUGUAGUAGGCAAGCUGCGGAGGGACGCAGGAAGGUAGCCCAUCCCGGUGACUGGUAUGCCGGGACAAGCGUGUAGGGCGAGGGGUAGGCAAAUCCGCUCCUCAUGUGCCUGAGACGUGACGUCGUGAUUGGAAUUCGUUUCCAAGAGUGGGUGAUCCUAUGCUGCCUAGAAAAGCUUCGUGAGCGACGUAUGAGCCGCCCGUACCCCAAACCGACACAGGUGGAUAGGUAGAGAAUACCAAGGCGAUCGAGAUAAUCGUGGUGAAGGAACUCGGCAAAAUACCCCCGUAACUUCGGGAUAAGGGGGACCGGAUGUGUGAGGACACGAGCUGUCUGAAGCAUUGAAGGUCGCAGAGACCAGGCCCAAGCGACUGUUUACUAAAAACACAGGUCCGUGCCAAGUCGAAAGACGAUGUAUACGGACUGACUCCUGCCCGGUGCUGGAAGGUUAACGGGAAGUGUCAGCGCAAGCGAAGCACUGAACUUAAGCCCCAGUAAACGGCGGUGGUAACUAUAACCAUCCUAAGGUAGCGAAAUUCCUUGUCGGGUAAGUUCCGACCUGCACGAAUGGAGUAACGAUUUGGGCGCUGUCUCCACCACGAACUCGGCGAAAUUGCAGUACGAGUAAAGAUGCUCGUUACGCGCAGCAGGACGGAAAGACCCCGGGACCUUUACUAUAGUUUGGUAUUGGUGUUCGGUGCGACUUGUGUAGGAUAGGUGGGAGACUGUGAAGCAGCCACGCCAGUGGUUGUGGAGUCAUCGUUGAAAUACCACUCUGGUCGCUCUGGAUAUCUAACCUAGGUCCAUGAUCUGGAUCAGGGACAGUGCCUGAUGGGUAGUUUGACUGGGGCGGUCGCCUCCCAAAAGGUAACGGAGGCGCCCAAAGGUUCCCUCAGCCUGGUUGGUAAUCAGGUGGCGAGUGUAAGUGCACAAGGGAGCUUGACUGUGAGAGAGACAUCUCGAGCAGGGACGAAAGUCGGGACUAGUGAUCUGGCGGUGGCUUGUGGAAGCGCCGUCACUCAACGGAUAAAAGGUACCCCGGGGAUAACAGGCUGAUCUUGCCCGAGCGCUCACAGCGACGGCAUGGUUUGGCACCUCGAUGUCGGCUCGUCGCAUCCUGGGGCUGGAGUCGGUCCCAAGGGUUGGGCUGUUCGCCCAUUAAAGCGGCACGCGAGCUGGGUUUAGAACGUCGUGAGACAGUUCGGUCCCUAUCCGCUGCGCGCGUAGGAAUCUUGAGAAGAGCUGUCCUUAGUACGAGAGGACCGGGACGGACUAACCUCUGGUGUGCCAGUUGUUCUGCCAAGAGCACGGCUGGUUGGCUACGUUGGGAAGUGAUAACCGCUGAAAGCAUCUAAGCGGGAAGCACGCUUCAAGAUGAGGGUUCCCACAGAAUAAUCUGGUAAGGCCCCCGGCAGACCACCGGGUGAUAGGUCGGAUGUGGAAGUGCUGAAAGGCAUGGAGCUGACCGAUACUAAUAGGCCGAGGGCUUGUUCAU